Molecule: long non-coding RNA, 3085 nt
Organism: Gambusia affinis (western mosquitofish)
Lineage: Eukaryota; Metazoa; Chordata; Actinopteri; Cyprinodontiformes; Poeciliidae
Exons: 3
Source: RefSeq, a predicted model, not a curated record
ACCCACAGGCGUGACGAAGCUUUCAUCACCAGCGGAAAGUCAGAGAUCCGAUUCACUCCUACACCCAGAGCAGAACGUCUGCCGGCUUUUCUGCUUCCAGCAUCAAACGAACAUUUACUUCCCUGGAGUUUACCUCUCACAGUUUCCUGCUACAGAAUCCGACUCUUAGCAAAAACCUCAAAGAUACUUUCAAAACCAAUCAAACUAAAAACAGAAGUGAGCCUCAAGGUCUGUUUUGGUCCUUGUUGUGUUGCUUUAAAUCUACAGAAACACAACAGCAGCAGAAAACCGCAAACGCCGCAGAGCAGAGCUCAGGAGUUUCUGCUUCCUCUGCGACAUGUUCACUCCGACACAAACAUCGAGCUGACAGGAAGCCGCCGCGGCCCGGUGCUGCGAGGUGAAGUACUUUUCAAGAACAAAACACAUGCGCUCAUGUUUCUGACGUUUCCUCAACCCAAACAUCCUGCAGAACUCCCCAAACAAACAGCAUUUCCUGCACAAAGUGCUCUGAAGUACCGUGAAGUACUGGGCCUUCAGGUGGAUGUUCAAGGCUGGAUGUCUGGACGUUUCCAGAUCGUUUCCAGAUCGUUUGGAGGAGAACCCAGCCACACAUUUAAAGCUCAUUUCAAGCGAACAUGAACUAGAUUUUACUUCCUUUUCUCUCCUACAAGCUGUGCAGCAAACACCAUCCUGCUACUUCUGCUUGCUGCCGCCGUGUUGCGGCUCCGGGCCACUGACCUGGUUCUGAAGCCAGAACCCUUUCAGGAGGAAUAAACUGGUUUCUGAUGAGAUUCUUGUUUUUAUUCUGCUUGGAGUACUUCCUGGUCACGAAUAAGAGAACAUGCUGUAGUAAAUCAGACCAUUUCUGUAGUGCAUGACGAUCUUAACAACGAGGAAAAGAAAAACUCAGAAACAGGAAGGACAAAUAAACGUGAUGCUCCUGGAAACCAGGAAGUUCUGCUCCUGCAAUCGGACCUUCUCCAGCUGCGUCUGCAGGUUGGUGAACAGAACCGAAGCCAUCGACUCGUCGUUGACCGCAGAAUCCCUGAAAACGGCCAGAAGAGCAGCGAGAUUUACACACGAGACGCUGCAGCGACAUGACAGAGAUUCAUCUGAUGAUUUAAAUCAUGUUGCAACACUUUGACCCCAGAACAGCAAAAAUCCAACUUCUAACUGAUCAAAGUCAUAAUCACUGUGAAUGUCCGAAACCGAUGGUUUCAUCGGGUCAUAAAGAUUCUCCAGAAGGCGUUGAGAGAUCUUAUCUGGUCCUGGAUGUUUCCUUCAGUCUAAACACGAUGUCUGGUUACUCAGAGGAAGCGUUUCUGUGCCAGGUGGGAUCCCACAGGGCUCAGUGUUGGAGCCACUGAUUCUUUCCCUGCGUUUGUUCCUCUAAAUUCCACUUCUAUGCUGACGACUGUCGGGUUUAUUGGCCAUUAAAGCAGAACAUAGCAGCAGAUAAUUCAAUAUUUCAGUAAAAUCUUUCAAAUGCAGAAAGAAAACCUUUAUAGACCAGAGCUUUCCGGUGGCUGUGUUUAAAAAAAACAACAAAAAAAACGUUAGUUGGUGAAAUAUUCAAGAUGGUGGCCAUUUUUAAAGAUGGAUGUCAAGGAAAAUUCCUUCCUGCACUAAAACUGUAAGGAUUUAUCUCAGAUUAAUGCUCUUGGUUUCAAGUAAUUGACACCGAAAUCAUAUUUACUGAUCAUGAUUCAAGAUGGCCGCUGUAUUUGUCAUGGAAGAUUGAUAUUUGCUCAAAAAUCAUCAAUUAGGUGAAUGAGUUUGGUGUCUAAUCAUAUUUUUAACCAUAGAAAUUGCAUAUUUUUUCUUGAUAUUGUGUUUUCAAAAUGGCCGCCAAUGUUGUAACAGAGAAUAUAUGUUCACACUGAAAUCAGCAGCAGUCAUUGCCAGUGGUGGCACAGCUAGCCAAAAAGUAAAAUUCGUUAGCAUUAAACAAGAAUCGUAGCUACGCUACCGCUAUACCUAUAAACCUAUAAACACAUGAAAAUUUAGCAGAAACUAUUGCUAACCUGCUGAAUACAUAUUUGUGUAUUAGCAGACGCUGCCACUAAACCAGCUGCUGCAGCAGCUGCGGCUCAUUGAACAAGCUGGUGAACAGACAGGAAGUGAUGUCGAUGAGGUUGUAAACAAGCUUCAGGAAGUAAUCUGAUUACUCUGAUAAACCAGUAAUCCUACUGUUUUAAAAAAUAAAAAUAAAACAUACUAAAAGGACAUCAAAUACAAAUCAAUACAUAAUGGAAAGAAAACAGCAGUGAAUGUCAUUAUUGACCGACAGACACUAAGAACAUUGACGGUCCAAAUCCCUCCGAGUCCCGAGGUAAAAAGAGAAACUGGUGAAGCAACAAAGCAGAGCUUCUACCUGAUACUGUAAAUAUAACUGUAACUGUUAUUGUUAAAUUAUCACAAAACCUGAAACCACAGCUCUUAAUAUAUCAAAGUGAAAGUUUGAUUUAGUUUCAGAUUAAGUAAAAGUUAUUUCUAAUAUUUAGUUAAGUUCAAAUAAAAGCUGCAGGAACAAAUUGGUUGGUUUUGUUUCUUAUUUUGUUUUUUUCUUUUUAUAAAACACAGAUUAGCAUUAUUAUUUAUCAAGUUUUCUUCAGACUUUAAAUAAUUUCCCUUGUUUUGGUUCAACAUCUGAUCAUUUUCUGACCCCAUUAAAGUAAACUGUGAAUGAAUCAGUUUGAGGAAAAAGAUUCAUAUUUAAAAUGGGAAUCUCUGUUUUUAUUGUUUUAUCUUCCAUAACUUUAUCUAUCUUUGUCUUCAUAUUGAACAAAGAAACAGAAAGAAUCUGUUUUAGUCAAAGUCUGCCGGUAACAAAGAGAGAAUGAAGAUUUUACUAAAGACGACGUUGUUUUCAAACUAUUCAAACAGAUAUAAACAGUUUGAAUCUGAAGUGUAUUUUAAUUAAGGAGGAUCAUGAAUGUUUUACAGAAUGUUUUAUUAAAUGUGACCGCAGGUUUUGCUGUCAGGUCAAAUCAGAACAGAAGGAAACGUUUUACUGUAAAAUGUUUCUGUGUUUCUGGAGGACCAGCUGUUCCAACAGCAGGAAUUAAAACUCGGCUUAAUUCCA